AACAGGAUUAGAUACCCUGGUAGUCCACGCCGUAAACGAUGUCGACUUGGAGGCUGUUCCCUUGAGGAGUGGCUUCCGGAGCUAACGCGUUAAGUCGACCGCCUGGGGAGUACGGCCGCAAGGUUAAAACUCAAAUGAAUUGACGGGGGCCCGCACAAGCGGUGGAGCAUGUGGUUUAAUUCGAUGCAACGCGAAGAACCUUACCUGGCCUUGACAUCCACGGAACUUGGCAGAGAUGCCUUGGUGCCUUCGGGAACCGUGAGACAGGUGCUGCAUGGCUGUCGUCAGCUCGUGUUGUGAAAUGUUGGGUUAAGUCCCGCAACGAGCGCAAUCCUUAUCCUUUGUUGCCAGCGAUUCGGUCGGGAACUCAAAGGAGACUGCCGGUGAUAAACCGGAGGAAGGUGGGGAUGACGUCAAGUCAUCAUGGCCCUUACGGCCAGGGCUACACACGUGCUACAAUGGCGCAUACAAAGAGAAGCGACCUCGCGAGAGCAAGCGGACCUCAUAAAGUGCGUCGUAGUCCGGAUCGGAGUCUGCAACUCGACUCCGUGAAGUCGGAAUCGCUAGUAAUCGUGGAUCAGAACGCCACGGUGAAUACGUUCCCGGGCCUUGUACACACCGCCCGUCACACCAUGGGAGUGGGUUGCAAAAGAAGUAGGUAGCUUAACCUUCGGGAGGGCGCUUACCACUUUGUGAUUCAUGACUGGGGUGAAGUCGUAACAAGGUAGC
This 729-nucleotide ribosomal RNA is filed under the name uncultured bacterium. RNAcentral describes it as "bacterial SSU rRNA". It matches the Rfam family "Bacterial small subunit ribosomal RNA", at positions 771 to 1500 of the family's 1533-position model. The record is from RNAcentral.